RNAcentral lists this long non-coding RNA (575 nucleotides) under Helianthus annuus (common sunflower). RNAcentral describes it as "sRNA HanXRQr2_Chr02g0068691". Lineage: Eukaryota; Viridiplantae; Streptophyta; Magnoliopsida; Asterales; Asteraceae. The record is from RNAcentral.
UUCAUUACGGACUCUUAGCUGAUGAUAGCCCGAUCGUAAGUCGAUCUUAGAGUAGUAGCUCGAUCCUUGCAACUGAUCGAAUAGGUCGUCGAUUCGCGGGAGAGGGUAACGAUUCUUGAUGGUAACCUUGUUCAGCUCACGAUAGUCAAUGCACAUUCGGAACGUGCCAUCCUUCUUCUUAACAAAGAGUACCGGUGCUCCCCAGGGUGAUGAACUAGGGCGGAUAAACCCUUUAUCCAAUAGUUCCUGUAGUUGAGUGGAGAGUUCCUUCAAUUCUGCGGGGGCUAGUCGAUAAGGCGCACGAGCUAUAGGCGCUGCUCCGGGAGCUAGCUCGAUUUGGAAUUCGACCUGACGGUGGGGAGGGAGUCCAGGUAAUUCUUCAGGAAAUACCUCGGGGUAGUCACGCACUACUGGAAAAUCUUCAAUCCUCUUUUCCUUUUCCUGCGUGUUGGUGACAAGUGCUAAGAUAGCGUCGAACGAUCGGCUGAAUGGUAGUGAGUUGUCAUGCUGUGGUUACGAGUCGCAACCGUGUGAUCUCGAGUCGCAAUGCUGUCCUUUUCUUGUUCACGUGUUGA